Molecule: ribosomal RNA, 2283 nt
Filed under: Tupua sp. CG299
Lineage: Eukaryota; Metazoa; Arthropoda; Arachnida; Araneae; Synotaxidae
Description: eukaryotic LSU rRNA
Rfam family: Eukaryotic large subunit ribosomal RNA
Source: RNAcentral
GGAGGAAAAGAAACCAACAGGGAUUCCCUUAGUAGCGGCGAGCGAAACGGGAUGAGCCCAGCGCUGAAUCCCACCCCUCCAAAGGGGGUCGGGAAAUGUAGCGUACAGGAGUUCGGUGGUACCGGCAGCGCAUUGCACGCGCAGCAAGUCCCCCUGACCGGGGCUGUUACCCAGAGCGGGUGCGAGGCCCAUAGCUGCGCAGUUGGUGCCGGAUACUGAACUCCUCGGAGUCGGGUUGCUUGAGAGUGCAACCCUAAGCGGGUGGUAAACUCCACCUAAGGCUAAAUACGACCGUGAGACCGAUAGCAAACAAGUACCGUGAGGGAAAGUUGCAAAGAACUUUGAAGAGAGAGUUCAAGAGUACGUGAAACUGUUCAGAGGUAAACAGGUGGGCCCUCGAAGCCCUUGUGGCGGGAGGAUUCAGUUGGGCGGCUUGGUCACUCGGCUGACGGUAUGGCGAGCCUCUGUGAUUGCUGCCUUCGCGAAAGUCGAGUGCUGCCGAGUUGCCCGACGCAUUUCCAUUCCCGUCCGAACGGACGCCGCAACCGGUUGGAGAACGGCCUUAAGGGCGGUUAACGGCAGGUCGCCAGCGGAGGGCGCGUCAGCAAUGACGUCGUCAGCCGCGGGAUGCUAGCCCUUCCGUCGCAUGGCACGUGAUCCGACCGUGGUCUUAAAAAAAAGUGGUCCUUUGACAAAGGGGACCCGAAUCCGCCUCCUCCUGAACCCUCCCCGAAAGGGAAGGAAAACAGGUGUUACGGAAGCAAAUCGACGUGCAUCGGUGUCGGCGCCUUGUGGCCACACGGAUCCAGUCCGUGGGCGUGCUGGUUGUCGGCCCGUGUCAGCCGUCGCGAGUCCGUUGGAGUGUGCUUGGCGGUUGGCGGCGAGUAGAUCGGUCACCCACCUGACCCGUCUUGAAACACGGACCAAGGAGUCUAACAUGUAUGCGAGUCAAUGGGACUCGAAAAAGCCCAAAGGCGCAAUGAAAGCAAAGGUUCGGUUGACACCCGAGACCGUGUUGGGAUCCCCGGUCCUUAUGCGACCGGGGCGCACCAACGACCCGCACUAUACUUUCAUAGUUUGAGCGGAGUCGGAGCAUACACGUUGGGACCCGAAAGAUGGUGAACUAUGCCCGGGCAGGACGAGGCCAGAGGAAACUCUGGUGGAGGUCCGCAGCGGUUCUGACGUGCAAAUCGAUCGUCAGAUCCGGGUCUAGGGGCGAAAGACCAAUCGAACCAUCUAGUAGCUGGUUCCCUCCGAAGUUUCCCUCAGGAUAGCUGGCGCUCGUUUGAAUUCAGUCUCAUCCGGUAAAGCGAAUGACUAGAGGCCUUGGGGUCGAAACGACCUCAACCUAUUCUCAAACUUUAAAUGGGUGAGAAGUUCGCCUUUCUUGACCAUAAGAUUGAAGGCCGGACGCAAUGAGAAAAAGGAUGAGAGUGCCCAGUGGGCCACUUUUGGUAAGCAGAACUGGCGCUGUGGGAUGAACCAAACGACGGGUUAAGGUGUCCGAUGCGAGACGCUCAUGAGAUCCCAUAAAAGGUGUUGGUUGCUCUAGACAGCCGGACGAUGGCCAUGGAAGUCGGAACUCGCUAAGGAGUGUGUAACAACUCACCGGCCGAAGCAACUAGCCCUGAAAAUGGAUGACGCUCCAGCGUUGAACCUAUACCCGUCCGCUUCGAGCAGAACUCCUACGUUUAUAGCAAAAAAAAGGAGGAUGAAGCCGAAGUGAGUAGGAGGGCCGCGACGGCGUGCGUUGAAGGUGCCGGGCGUGGGCCCGCCUGGAGCCGCCGUCGGUGCAGAUCUUGGUGGUAGUAGCAAAUACUCAAGUGAGAACCUUGAGGACUGAAGUCGGAGAAGGGUUCCAUGUGAACAGCAGUUGAACAUGGGUCAGUCGGUCCUAAGGAAUCGGAGAAAUCCGUUCCGAAGCGGGACAUUGACAAUGAUUUAAAAAACCGUAAUGACCAAGCGGAAAAUCUUGCAGAGUUUGUCCCGCUGCCGACCGAAAGGGAAUGGGGUUAAUAUUCCCCAACCCGGACACGGAGAUAGAGCCCUCGGGCUCAAGUGCGGUAACGCAACCGAACUCGGAGACGUCGGCGGAGGACCCGGGGAAGAGUUAUCUUUUCUUUGUAAGAGUUCGUGUCCCUGGAAUCGGCUCGUCCGGAGAUAGGGACGCUGUUCUCGUAAAAGCACCGCGGCUCUUGCGGUGUCCGGUGCGCCUCUGUCGGCCCUUGCAAAUCCGAGGGAGAGAGUGUAAUUUUCGUGCCGGUCCGUACCCAUAUCCGCAGC